This is a long non-coding RNA of Macrobrachium nipponense, 196 nucleotides long. RefSeq lists it as uncharacterized. The transcript is spliced from 3 exons. Lineage: Eukaryota; Metazoa; Arthropoda; Malacostraca; Decapoda; Palaemonidae. The record is from RefSeq and is a predicted model, not a curated record.
GUCAACAUUACACUCUUGUCACGACGGUUGAGUAUGACGGACGCGUCAAGUUCAGUGCUGUGGUUUUUCCUAAAGUGUUCAAUACGAGAUACAGAGAAGACUUAUGAGGCAGUAUUAGCAGUUACGGUUGAUCUGCGCUGUGAGACAUCAGCACUUCUACAAGGACUCUACGUACUCAAGGUAAGUUAAAACUGGA